RNAcentral lists this ribosomal RNA (253 nucleotides) under uncultured bacterium. RNAcentral's name for it is "partial 16S ribosomal RNA". It matches the Rfam family "Bacterial small subunit ribosomal RNA", at positions 524 to 776 of the family's 1533-position model. The record is from RNAcentral.
UACGUAGGGUGCGAGCGUUAAUCGGACUUACUGGGCGUAAAGCGUGCGCAGGCGGUUUUGUAAGCCAGAUGUGAAAUCCCCGGGCUUAACCUGGGAAUGGCAUUUGGGACUGCAAGGCUUGAGUGCGGCAGAGGUGACUGGAAUUCCUGGUGUAGCAGUGAAAUGCGUAGAUAUCAGGAGGAACACCGAUGGCGAAAGCAGGUACCGGGAACAUUACUGACACUCAGAUGCGAAAGCUAGGGGAGCAAACAGG